ACAGCAGUCCCACGGUAAUACGGAGGGAGCUAGCGUUGUUCGGAAUUACUGGGCGUAAAGCGCGCGUAGGCGGUUCGUUAAGUCUGUUGUGAAAGCCCCGGGCUCAACCUGGGAAUGGCAAUGGAUACUGGCGAGCUAGAGUGUGUCAGAGGAUGGUGGAAUUCCCGGUGUAGCGGUGAAAUGCGUAGAGAUCGGGAGGAACAUCAGUGGCGAAGGCGGCCAUCUGGGACAACACUGACGCUGAGGCACGAAAGCGUGGGGAGCAAACAGGAUUAGAUACCCCAGUAGUCCCUGUCUCUUAUACC
RNAcentral lists this ribosomal RNA (305 nucleotides) under uncultured bacterium. RNAcentral describes it as "partial 16S ribosomal RNA". It matches the Rfam family "Bacterial small subunit ribosomal RNA", at positions 508 to 808 of the family's 1533-position model. The record is from RNAcentral.